This 264-nucleotide ribosomal RNA is filed under the name uncultured soil bacterium. RNAcentral's name for it is "partial 16S ribosomal RNA". It matches the Rfam family "Bacterial small subunit ribosomal RNA", at positions 26 to 284 of the family's 1533-position model. The record is from RNAcentral.
AGGAUGAACGCUGGCGGCGUGCUUAACACAUGCAAGUCGAACGAUGAAGGCUGGAGCUUGCUCUGGCUGGAUUAGUGGCGAACGGGUGAGUAACACGUGAGUAACCUGCCCCAGACUCUGGGAUAAGCGCUGGAAACGGCGUCUAAUACCGGAUACGAGCUUCCACCGCAUGGUGAGGAGCUAGGAAAGUAAUUUCGGUCUGGGAUGGACUCGCGGCCUAUCAGCUUGUUGGUGAGGUAAUGGCUCACCAAGGCGACGACGGGU